AUCUUACAUCCUACAUACUGCAAACUGCCAGCGGCAAAACUUGGUCCUUUCUCUCAUUCUGUGAAAAGUCCGGAAAUAAUGGGACACCGCUUUUCAGGCAAAAAAAUUCCGAAUUGCGCACAAAAACUCAUU
Molecule: non-coding RNA, 132 nt
Organism: Caenorhabditis elegans
Lineage: Eukaryota; Metazoa; Nematoda; Chromadorea; Rhabditida; Rhabditidae
Source: Ensembl